AAGAUCGUAUUUUCAGUCUUGAUUAAUCGAUUAGUGUGUUUGUUCCCUUUCAAUAGGGGCAAUCCAAGAAUACCCAUUGCUGAGAUGGUCCAUUCAUGGGAUAAUUCCUUGAAUGAAUGCUCAAAAUCAUGCUUAUGAAAACAUUUGUGUACUAAAGUCACGAAGUUUUUCAUGCUUGAAGUUAUUGAGCUCUUUUGAAAAUGAUUUUGCAUGGUGACUUUUACAUAUUUAGUCCACUAAUUCCAGUAAGGAAUGUUAGGAUGGACCAAUUUAAUGAAUGAUGUGAAAUGGAUUGAGUAUGUCAAAUGAGACAUCUCAAGAUAAUGAAAGGCAAACCCUAUCCUAUACAUAGUUCCCUACUUAUACACUUGUGAGAUGAGUGUAGGAAGUUCCAUAUCCGCAAGGUAAAAAGUUUUCUUGUGAAAGGUACGAUGGCCAAAGUGAUGAGAGGUAGUACAUUUCUCUAUCCCAAACACUACAGGUGACCCAUUACUUAACCCCUUUGAACCCCAUACACUUGUGGUAUUUUUUUUCAAAUUAUCCCUGUCAAGAACCACCCCACCUCGGGACAAAUUGGAGGUAAGAUGGCAUCAUGAG
This 597-nucleotide long non-coding RNA is filed under the name Eucalyptus grandis. RNAcentral's name for it is "long non-coding RNA (EGRA_LNC001737)". The record is from RNAcentral. Lineage: Eukaryota; Viridiplantae; Streptophyta; Magnoliopsida; Myrtales; Myrtaceae.